This 756-nucleotide ribosomal RNA is filed under the name uncultured bacterium. Its description in RNAcentral is "bacterial SSU rRNA". It matches the Rfam family "Bacterial small subunit ribosomal RNA", at positions 28 to 776 of the family's 1533-position model. The record is from RNAcentral.
AUUGAACGCUGGCGGCAGGCUUAACACAUGCAAGUCGAGCGGUAACAGGAGAAGCUUGCUUCUCGCUGACGAGCGGCGGACGGGUGAGUAAUACUUAGGAAUCUACCUAGUAGUGGGGGAUAGCACGGGGAAACUCGUAUUAAUACCGCAUACGACCUACGGGAGAAAGGGGGCAGUUUACUGCUCUCGCUAUUAGAUGAGCCUAAGUCGGAUUAGCUAGAUGGUGGGGUAAAGGCCUACCAUGGCGACGAUCUGUAGCUGGUCUGAGAGGAUGAUCAGCCACACCGGGACUGAGACACGGCCCGGACUCCUACGGGAGGCAGCAGUGGGGAAUAUUGGACAAUGGGGGAAACCCUGAUCCAGCCAUGCCGCGUGUGUGAAGAAGGCCUUUUGGUUGUAAAGCACUUUAAGCAGUGAAGAAGACUCCAUGGUUAAUACCCAUGGACGAUGACAUUAGCUGCAGAAUAAGCACCGGCUAACUCUGUGCCAGCAGCCGCGGUAAUACAGAGGGUGCAAGCGUUAAUCGGAAUUACUGGGCGUAAAGGGAGCGUAGGUGGCUCUAUAAGUCAGAUGUGAAAUCCCCGGGCUUAACCUGGGAACUGCAUCUGAAACUGUAGAGCUAGAGUAUGUGAGAGGAAGGUAGAAUUCCAGGUGUAGCGGUGAAAUGCGUAGAGAUCUGGAGGAAUACCGAUGGCGAAGGCAGCCUUCUGGCAUAAUACUGACACUGAGGCUCGAAAAGCGUGGGUAGCAAACAGG